ACGGGUGAGUAACACGUAAGGAACCUGCCUCAAGGAUUGGGAUAACUCCGAGAAAUCGGAGCUAAUACCGGAUAGUUCAUCGGACCGCAUGGUCCGCUGAUGAAAGGCGCUCCGGCGUCACCUUGAGAUGGCCUUGCGGUGCAUUAGCUAGUUGGUGGGGUAACGGCCCACCAAGGCGACGAUGCAUAGCCGACCUGAGAGGGUGAUCGGCCACACUGGGACUGAGACACGGCCCAGACUCCUACGGGAGGCAGCAGUAGGGAAUCUUCCACAAUGGACGAAAGUCUGAUGGAGCAACGCCGCGUGAGUGAUGAAGGUUUUCGGAUCGUAAAACUCUGUUGUAAGGGAAGAACACGUACGAGAGGGAAUGCUCGUACCUUGACGGUACCUUACGAGAAAGCCACGGCUAACUACGUGCCAGCAGCCGCGGUAAUACGUAGGUGGCAAGCGUUGUCCGGAAUUAUUGGGCGUAAAGCGCGCGCAGGCGGCCUUUUAAGUCUGAUGUGAAAGCCCCCGGCUCAACCGGGGAGGGCCAUUGGAAACUGGAAGGCUUGAGUACAGAAGAGAA
RNAcentral lists this ribosomal RNA (568 nucleotides) under uncultured bacterium. RNAcentral's name for it is "bacterial SSU rRNA". It matches the Rfam family "Bacterial small subunit ribosomal RNA", at positions 102 to 658 of the family's 1533-position model. The record is from RNAcentral.